GCAUGGUGGGUUUCUUGUGUUGCAUGCCUAAUUGAUGGUAUCAUUUGAAGAAUUGAUGUCCCUUUUCAUCUUGUGUCGCACAUGCGAUGUGAGAUGAACCUUGAAUUAGACUUUGUGAUCCACUCUUUCGAUGUACACGCAUUGAUUUUGUGGCCCACUGUGUGUUGCUUGGUCUCAUGGAUAUGGAACCUGAUGUGGGCAUGGGAUCUUUACUAGUUCCUUGUUUGCCCUGGUUUAGCUUUUCUAAUACGAUUGUUUAUCACAUUUUAAUGUGGUAGGCUAUAUCGGAUAUGAAUGCUACCUGGUUGAUCCUGCC
This 316-nucleotide unclassified non-coding RNA is filed under the name Leontopodium calocephalum. Its description in RNAcentral is "partial contains external transcribed spacer and 18S ribosomal RNA". Lineage: Eukaryota; Viridiplantae; Streptophyta; Magnoliopsida; Asterales; Asteraceae. The record is from RNAcentral.